UACGGGGGGGGUAAGCGUUGUUCGGAAUUACUGGGCGUAAAGCGUGCGUAGGCGGUUCGCUGUGUCCGAUGUGAAAGCCCCGGGCUUAACCUGGGAAUGGCAUUGGAAACUGGCGGGCUUGAGUGCGGCAGAGGGGGGUGGAAUUCCGCGUGUAGCAGUGAAAUGCGUAGAGAUGCGGAGGAACACCGAUGGCGAAGGCAGCCCCCUGGGUCGACACUGACGCUCAGGCACGAAAGCGUGGGGAGCAAACAGG
Molecule: ribosomal RNA, 253 nt
Filed under: uncultured bacterium
Lineage: Bacteria
Description: partial 16S ribosomal RNA
Rfam family: Bacterial small subunit ribosomal RNA
Source: RNAcentral